AAAAGAUAUGCGUACGAUUGGUUUCGAACAAUCUGUUUUACACAAACGCCCUAUAUUUUUUUCGAUAGAUCUCCGAUAAUGCACCAAUUAUGGAAGUGAUAAAGUACAUAAAGUUUUACAACAAUACAGAUUAUAAAGCUAUCAACUACUUUGCGUAUGUGAUGAAACGUUUGAUAUCGAACACUUAUCUGAGUCAGUUGCGUACCAGUAGACAUACAUGGUCUAUAUAUGUAGGGCUCAUGGGAGUUAACGGUUUAAAAAUAUUGUUUUGUCCUAAAUUCAAAUACAUAUGACUUUCUCAUUAUCAACAUUUGAAAGUAAUGUGUAAUACUUUUUUUUCUUUUAUCUUAUUAUUUCAUUAUGAAAAUAUACAACAAAAAAAUAUUAAGUGAAGAUCAACAACAGUUUCCGUAUAUGAAGCUUGAUUUGUUUUCAUAAUAUUACUUCCCUUUGGAAGUCGCUUUUGCGUUUGUAUGCCAUGUUGUUCGGGAACACUUGUUCAACAGGUCAACUUCAACCGAGAAGUGCUAGAGUGUAGACAUGAUGGAUUUGCAAGUCCUAGGAAUGUAUAAAAUGCUGAAUAACAAUAUUUUACGAACAUCUCAUUUUAUUUACUUAGUCUUCUUAUUCUAAGAGGUGGAUAGAAGUUUUACAUUACUUUUGUACCUAAGUUGUCUAUAGAUACUUGAGAUAACAAUGUUUAGAAAAAAACAACAUUGUCAUCACGCUAUCUCUUUCGAGUUUUCUGUUUUCACUGUUAUCAAUGGCUUUUAAAUGUAACGUGCUUACCACUUGAAUAUUUUGUGAAUGUUUUAUCUGAAAAUGAUAGUUCACAUCUUCAACAUACUAACAAAGCGACAUUCAAGUAUUAUUUUCUUAUUAUUUUGAGAAUACAACAUUAACCUACCCGCGUAUCCUAACGAUGCUCUCCUCGCUAUGUUAAAAUUUAUAUAAUUGUGUAGAUAUCUAGAAUGUCCGAUCAGAACAGUUAAAGUUGUUUUUGAAUAUAUCAACCAAUUACUUAUGCCAAAUCAAUUACAUAUAACAAAACGACAAUUAUGAUAAUAUAUGUUUUCUAAUUUCAGUUGUUUCACCUGUCAAAAGUAUAUGGAUCCAAUCAACUGAGCCCAGAAAGAGAACAAUGACAGACAACGUUUGAUUAUAAAGUUUACUUAUCUAACUGACAUUUUGUGUUUAUAUUGAAAUUUAUAUACUAUUUCAUCAUUGUAAUUAUCUUUGCACGUAACUGUUUUAAUUGAACAUUUUCUUAAACACGCAUCAAAGAUA
Molecule: long non-coding RNA, 1287 nt
Organism: Mytilus californianus (California mussel)
Lineage: Eukaryota; Metazoa; Mollusca; Bivalvia; Mytilida; Mytilidae
Exons: 2
Source: RefSeq, a predicted model, not a curated record